ACCUGUGUAGUAUAGUGGUUAGUACUCCACGUUGUGGCCGUGGCGACGCUGGUUCGAUUCCAGCAGCAGGCA
Molecule: non-coding RNA, 72 nt
Organism: Caenorhabditis remanei
Lineage: Eukaryota; Metazoa; Nematoda; Chromadorea; Rhabditida; Rhabditidae
Source: Rfam